GGACACUGCAGCCCUCACAAAAGGAGGAAGUCAGUCAUAAGCAGUCCUAGUGCACAAAUCAUCUAGAAUGGAGCCUUCUGAAGAACCUCAACCUGCAACUGGACCAAGCUUGCCUGAGUGUGAAGCCCAAUUACUCCCUUUGUGGUUCUCAGUGGCCCACACGUCUUCUGGUCGUAUUGCUUCCUGUGGUAGGAAAUGGUAUCAUCCAGUCACACACGUCACUGAGAUAUUGUUAAUAGCUCUCUGUACUGAUAUCCAACCCACUGCCAAUUCUAG
RNAcentral lists this long non-coding RNA (276 nucleotides) under Chinchilla lanigera (long-tailed chinchilla). RNAcentral describes it as "lncRNA (ENSCLAG00000022537.1)". The record is from RNAcentral. Lineage: Eukaryota; Metazoa; Chordata; Mammalia; Rodentia; Chinchillidae.